AGCGGCGGACGGGUGAGUAACGCGUGGGUAACCUGCCUCAUACAGAGGGAUAACAGUUGGAAACGGCUGCUAAUACCGCAUAAGCGCACAGUACCGCAUGGUACGGUGUGAAAAACUCCGGUGGUAUGAGAUGGACCCGCGUCUGAUUAGGUAGUUGGUGGGGUAACGGCCUACCAAGCCGACGAUCAGUAGCCGACCUGAGAGGGUGACCGGCCACAUUGGGACUGAGACACGGUCCAA
RNAcentral lists this ribosomal RNA (240 nucleotides) under uncultured bacterium. RNAcentral's name for it is "partial 16S ribosomal RNA". It matches the Rfam family "Bacterial small subunit ribosomal RNA", at positions 94 to 334 of the family's 1533-position model. The record is from RNAcentral.